Molecule: ribosomal RNA, 460 nt
Filed under: uncultured bacterium
Lineage: Bacteria
Description: partial 16S ribosomal RNA
Rfam family: Bacterial small subunit ribosomal RNA
Source: RNAcentral
CCUACGGGGGGCUGCAGUGAGGAAUAUUGGUCAAUGGACGAGAGUCUGAACCAGCCAAGUAGCGUGAAGGAUGACUGCCCUAUGGGUUGUAAACUUCUUUUAUAUGGGAAUAAAAUGUUCCACGUGUGGGAUUUUGUAUGUACCAUAUGAAUAAGGAUCGGCUAACUCCGUGCCAGCAGCCGCGGUAAUACGGAGGAUCCGAGCGUUAUCCGGAUUUAUUGGGUUUACGGGGAGCGUAGGUGGAUUGUUAAGUCAGUUGUGAAAGUUUGCGGCUCAACCGUAAAAUUGCAGUUGAAACUGGCAGUCUUGAGUACAGUAGAGGUGGGCGGAAUUCGUGGUGUAGCGGUGAAAUGCUUAGAUAUCACGAAGAACUCCGAUUGCGAAGGCAGUUCACUGGACUGCAACUGACACUGAGGCUCGAAAGUGUGGGUAUCAAACAGGAUUAGAUACCCGAGUAGUC